UUAGAGUUGUUCUAAAGAUUGUCCUAAAAAUACUGUACUGUAUAAAAACUUACUUAAAAAAUUGCAAAAUUUACAAUGAUAGCAAAAGGAUCCCAAAAGAAAAAGAAAAAAUGUACUAGUACAGAUUUGCAAAGGGGCAAAUCUCAAGUCGCCCCCAAACGGGAAAUUGGCGAGGUUUCCAUGGUCCGCCGCCGCCGCCGCCGCCGUCUCGCGUCCCCCAUCAUGCCGCUCCCGGCGCCUGCGCCGCCGCUGGACAACGACGACCUCCUCCGUGAGAUCCUACUCCUCCUUCCUCCGCAGCCAUCCUCCCUCCUCCGCGCCUCCGUGGUCUGCAAGCGCUGGCGCCGCCUCGUCUCCGAUCCGAGAUUCCUCCGCCGCUUCCGCGCGCACCACCGUAGGCCCCCACUCCUCGGCUGCUUCUCCUACGACCAAGAUAUCGGUUACGUCUUCACUCCCACGCUGGACCCGCCCGACCGCAUCCCCGCCGCGCGUUUCUCCCUGCCGCAGCGCUGCCGCGACGAGGGAGGGUUGGACUUCGUGGAAUGCCAUCACGGCCUCGCCCUUUUCCUCAAUAAGAAACAACCCGAGGCCGUCGUGUGGAACCCCAUCUCCGGUCACCAGCACCGAGUAGCUUUUCCACCAGAGUUCGGCGACGCUAGAGAGAGGGAGAUCCUAUGCGCGGCGGUGCUCUGCGCUGCCGGUGAUGACGACCCUGGCCAUGUGCACGGUGAUUGUGGCUUGAGCUCUUUUAAAUUGGCUUUGGUGCGAGGUGGCCAAGACCAUGCAAGUCUAUUUGUGUGCCUCUACAAAUCCAAGUCUGGCCUAUGGGGAAAUGUUAUCUCAACGACUAAAGACUGGUACACAUUGUUUUAUUGGAGAAAGUCCAGCGUCCUGAUUGGGAAUGCACUUUACUGGUGGUGUUGCCAGAUUGAAGGUUGCAUUCUUGAGUUUGAUUUUAAAAUGCAGAAGCUUGUUACAAUUGAGAAGCCAGUAGACGGCGGUUGUUCCAACUAUCAGAUCAUGCGGACAGAGGAAAGUAGUCUCGGACUCAUCAUUUUGACAGAACUGACCAUGCAGUUAUGGGAGCGGAAGGUCAGUUCUGAUGAUGUUGCUACAUGGGUCCUUCAGAAAACCAUUGAGUUGACAAAGCACCUUUGGCCAAGACAGUCCGUCCAGGUCUUCUGGACCAGGAUACAUGGGUACGAGGAGGAUCACAAUGUGAUAUUUCUGGGGACAUCUAGUGGUUCUUUCAUGAUUCAACUCGACUCAAUGCAGUUCAAUAACCGAUUCCAAUUCAAGUCCAUCUUCACCCAUUUUCCCUACACAAGCUUUUAUGCUGCUGACUGGGCUGCUGGUGGUAGAGAUGAUGGAACUGAAAUGUGAAGCAGUACAUCACCUAAUUGCCCUAUCAGAUAAGCUACCAUAAUGUGUUAAUUGAACCCGUGAUGUGCAUUUUGCUUCUGAUACAUGUUUAUUUAUUUAUUACCUUGUCGACAUUUUGAUAUAAUCCUGCAAACUGUGUAUCCUCUGAAUAUUAAGCUGUUCGCGACCUAUCUAGUAGAUUGGGAUCAAAUUUGUUUCAGUUGUAAACAAGCUGCGUAUUAUGUAGUAUUUUAUUGGAUGUGACCACUUGUGUUUCUUCUUGCCCGUUUUGUAUUCUUUUUUCUAGGACCAAAGUCCCAGAGAGAAUCCUAUAGAUCUCUCAUUCACAUAUGUUCCACAGAUGUCACCACCUACGGUACAUCAUAUUUUGAGGGCAACAGCUAUCUAGCUCCUAUCUCCUGGCCCUACUUCUUAGAGCAUCUCCAAUAGGUGCCCUAUAAUAAGGCCCUAAACUGUGGUUGGAGCAAAAUUUGCAACACCUAAAAGUGCUUUUUUACAACACCAAAAACCUCCCACUCUAAUAGGUGCCCUAAAACAGGUGUUGGCUGUUGCAAAAUACAUCAUGGUUGUCUUCUUGUGGGUGCCCUAUUUUAGGGCACCUGUUGGAGCAACAGAGUGAUAUAAACAACACUUGGUCAUAUUAGAAGAAUAUAUAAUUUUCAGUCUCUAUUUCAUUGUGGACAUUUAGACCAAUAAUCUUGUAUUUGCAUAUCCUCGACUUAGUCAUAUUAGCUAUGUACUUGAACAUUUUAUGUCCUCAUAUGCCAUGAUAGGAAACUGCAGCUCGAUAAUUCGGGGGCUUGAUGUUUGAUUCUGGUGGAGGGUGUUGCAUUUAAGACGAUAGGAUCACCGUGAUCUUAUUUUUCUUCUUCUGAUUCUUGUCAGUUAGGAAGUUUGUCAGAGACUGGAUGUUCUGUUUGUUACGUAGAUUAGAUUUCCCUUGUUGAUGUUUUCAUCAUGUAAGAAGUUUCAACCUACUACCUGUUUGCAUCACCUCCUGGUCCCUAUAUAAUCCUCUUCCCCAGUGAGCCAAGUCAUCCUGGCCGUCUAUCUGGAGGUAUUUACCAAGCUGUUGUCAUCUGAUGGAAACUGAAGACUAUGUAAACAGUAUGGUAUCAGACUAUCAGUACAAAUCUACAGACGCCUGUUCCCAUUUUGUGCCUCGUGUUACCUCUCUCUGUUUGUUGGUUCCCAUCUGAUAUUUUUGCUAAACUGAUUUACCUGGGAAGGUUCGAGCAUUGUCUCCAUAACUCCUCUGUAUAAAAAGGAAGCGAUGCCCCCAGCAUCUGCAUUGUUUGGUGCGCACAACCAAUAAACUCGGUAAUUGUGUUGCCAGAUUUUACGUUUGGGACUAACUGAGAAUUUACAGCUUAAUCUUCGUCUGGGUGAGUAAUGAAACUGAUAUUGUUGUUUCCUUCGUAGUUAAUCGGAGCUGCUUAGAAGCCUCUUGUGUGAACCGAUCCCACAUAUAUCAGAACCAAUCACAUGCUGAGAGAAGAUAUUUAUUUGACAGCAGAAUAAAUAGGGGAGAACAAGUAAUCCCGAUGACUGGUAGCAUCAAUUCUGUCAAGCGCUGUGCUUGAUUUGCUGUUGGUUGGCCAUACAAGCACUUACAUUUGGAGAUCAUCUUCAGUGUCAGAUUGUUGUCAUAUUCUGUCAAGCGCUGGCGCUGGCGCCAAUGCCAUUUAGAAGUCCUCCUGUGUGCUAGUCUGAACAAAUCAUGAUUUUACUGGCUUAAUAGUUAUUGGCUGCUGCAUGAAUAGUUCUGACCACUGUACCAGAAUACUGAAUCAGUUAUCAUGAGAGAAUGCUGAAUGAGUGCUGCUGCUGUUUCUCUUGGAUUAUGCUUGUAGCAGGGGGGCACUGCCUUUGUUUGGUCAUCUGGACACUCCAACAAUAUCAGGCACAUGUAUGUGGCUUCUUCAUCUUUACAGCCCAUGUAUAUGCCACUGAAACCAAAAUUGAGACUUCGCAGAUACUGUCUAAAUUCAGGUAUGUGAUUUCACUCACAGACUAAUGACUAAACCCGACAAUUCGUGUAGCAAUGUAUUAAUAUUUUCAGCAUAUACAUCAACACAAACAUAUACAUAGGAUUAGGAACAAUCGAAUCCAAAGAAGCAGAGACCUGUAAAACCUACUGCCCAAGCUAAAUUCAACUUCCAUCCAAAAAUAACACCCAACUAUCCGGGAUUAUUCGUGCAUCCUUCUCUUUGCUGGCUACGAAGGCCUGAAGAAGUGUCAAGAUCAUUGGGAAUAGGCCUUGCCGGGCAGAGCCACCGGCCUGAGCUCACCACCAUGGAGGAAACCGGCGAACCACUUGGCGGAGUGCUUCUGGUACCUCGUCCUCUCCUUGGAGCUGAAGUCCACACCGUAGAGGCCAUAGCCCAUGCGGUAGCCGAAGAGGUACUCGAACACGUCCAGGAAUGACCAUACGAAAUAGCCCUGCACAUUCGAGCCGUUCCUGAUCACCCAGCAACAGAGAGGAAAUUGGUGAGCAAACUGCAUCAGUUUCUUUCAGGUGUCCUCUACUGAGAUGAAUGGAUGGUGUUGGUACCUGCUGGAUUGGAGGGUCGCCUCGAUGUAAUCCUGCAGGUACUGCGACCUGAACUCGUCGUCGGGGGCGUUCCCACCAGAGGGAUCAGCAAUGCUGGCAGCUCCUGAUGGACAUGAUCAUUGACGAAAUGGUAUUUCAGGUUGAUGAGUGAUCAAAAGUUGAUGACCUUACAGAAUCAUGCAUUUUAAGGUAGCUGAAAGUUCGGUCAGUAGAAUUUACCAUUCUCGUGGAUCAUGACCACAGGGUUCUUGUAUUUGACCUGCAGAUGCUCCAGCAUUUUCCUCAUAGACCACGCUGUUGAUGACAUGAAACCCAUUUUCAACCCAAACAAGAGCUGUUGCAUUUAAUUUUAGCCACACACACACACAAAUGAUUUAGUUUAUUGGGAACAAAGUUCAUUUUCGAACUAAAUUGAUUAGUGACGGAAUGACUUGUAUCAUCAAAUACCUGGUUCUUUGAGUUCAAAAAUGGCACUGCAAGAAUACAUUUGCAGAAGAGUUAAGUUUCAUUUCUCUCAUUGCAUUGUGGCACAUAGUAUAACACAUGACAGGACUUCAGGUUAUUAAUAUUCUUACCGGUGUCAUAUUUCACGGCUGCAUCACCCAUGUAAUCUCUCAGCUUCUGAUCCAGCUUGCUAAGAUCAGCCUUCACAUAAGCGGCACCGUAAUGGUUAAAUCCGACAAAAUCAAAAGACCCACGCACUCUCUUUAGCUCUUCAGCGGUGAAAGAUGGUAGCCUGGACCCAACAUUCUUCCUCAUCACUGGUGGGUAGUCUCUAUGCACCAAUGGAUGCAUAUACCUGUGUCAUGAUUACAACAUCUUUAGCUCUAGUUACGCACACAUUCUAGCUGUCCUUGUUGAACUUGAAAUGUAGAAGAACGUACCAUCCAAUGUGGAAGUCAUUCAUCCUUGCAGCUGCUGCUAUAUCCUCAGGUGUUUGUGUUGCAGGCUCGAACCACCAGCAGAGCAAUGGACGCUGCUGAGGCAUGUGCAAGCAGAAGAUGGUGAGCUACUAUGUAGGGCUCAGUGGUAGAGUUGCCAUUGUUGCAACUGAUGCCGAAGGGGGAGGAGCAUCGCUGUGGUGGAAAGAAUCCUACAUCGUAUCCGCCAAUGGGCUCAAUGUUUGGCUCAUUCACAGUGCUCCAGUAUUUCACCCUGUCGCCAAAGUUCUUGAAGCACACAUCUGCAUACGUCGUGUAGUCAUCUCUGCAACCAUGUGACAAAAAAGGGGAAAGAAGAAUUUACAUGAAUUUACGACUAAGCAUCCCAUGGUAUUCAUCUUGAAGAGCCUGAGGGAAGUCAAAAUGAUAUAUCGUUACGUGAGGCUGAAUUCCUACAUGAAACAGAGGAAGACGCACGAUUUAUCUCUGCACAGCUGGACAUUUGGAAAUCUUGUCAUUUCUUUCGUAAAUGAAGGAUUCAGUAUGCCAAGGAUCAAAUACCAUGACUAAGGAGUUCAUUGAUAAGGUUGUUGUAGUACUCCAGUCCUUUUGGAUUGACAGCUCCUCGGCCAUCUUCAUGGAUUGCAAACAGAAGAAUAAGCCGAGGCCAGGCAAUGGAAAAUCUAUACGCGUCCACGCCCAUCUGGCUCAAAAGCUUUACAUCUUCCUGGUUGUUUAUCAGAUCACAUCAGCAGUGGCUCCAUCGGCAGAGUAGCCUGUGGAUGUUAAAACUCCAUGUUACAAUUCGCAAUGCGAUAAUGCGUGGUAGAUUCAGGCCCACAGGGUGUGGGGAAGCCGGUGAAUAAACCUGAGUGUGUGAAUGUAUCCCAGAUGCUGGGUUUUCUUCCGUCCUCUGCAACCGCGCCUUCAAUCUGGGAAAUCAGCGGAAUGUUCAGACCGCCAAAAACAGAAAGAAGUAGCCGAAAGAGAAAUUAGCCUGGUGACAUCGAAAUGAAGUCGACGAAAGAAACUGGUGAGGAAACGGCAUUUGGGUUGUUUUCUGAAGACUAUAUGGGACGAAAACGUCGUUGGCGGGAACAGAGUGUAAGUAUAGGCUGCCGGUGACUGGUUGCUUAACUUUUUAUUAUUAUUUUAUAAUAAAGGGAGCAUCCUCCCAAUUUCAUUUAA
Molecule: RNA transcript, 6006 nt
Organism: Triticum aestivum (bread wheat)
Lineage: Eukaryota; Viridiplantae; Streptophyta; Magnoliopsida; Poales; Poaceae
Exons: 7
Source: RefSeq, a predicted model, not a curated record